UACGGAGGGAGCUAGCGUUAUUCGGAAUUACUGGGCGUAAAGCGCACGUAGGCGGCUUUGUAAGUCAGAGGUGAAAGCCUGGAGCUCAACCCCAGAACUGCCUUUGAUACUGAAGAUCUUGAGUAUGGGAGAGGUGAGUGGAACUGCGAGUGUAGAGGUGAAAUUCGUAGAUAUUCGCAAGAACACCAGUGGCGAAGGCGGCUCACUGGCCCAUUACUGACGCUGAGGCACGAAAGCGUGGGGAGCAAACAGG
RNAcentral lists this ribosomal RNA (253 nucleotides) under uncultured bacterium. RNAcentral describes it as "partial 16S ribosomal RNA". It matches the Rfam family "Bacterial small subunit ribosomal RNA", at positions 524 to 776 of the family's 1533-position model. The record is from RNAcentral.